CAGUCGCCGCGGGAAUACGAAGGGUGCAAGCGUUAAUCGGAAUUACUGGGCGUAAAGCGUGCGUAGGUGGUGGUUUAAGUCCGUUGUGAAAGCCCUGGGCUCAACCUGGGAAUUGCAGUGGAUACUGGGUCACUAGAGUGUGGUAGAGGAUAGUGGAAUUUCCGGUGUAGCAGUGAAAUGCGUAGAGAUCGGAAGGAACAUCUGUGGCGAAGGCGACUAUCUGGGCCAACACUGACACUGAGGCACGAAAGCGUGGGGAGCAAACAGGAUUAGAUACCCCGGUAGUCCCUGUCUCUUAUAC
RNAcentral lists this ribosomal RNA (301 nucleotides) under uncultured bacterium. RNAcentral describes it as "partial 16S ribosomal RNA". It matches the Rfam family "Bacterial small subunit ribosomal RNA", at positions 509 to 807 of the family's 1533-position model. The record is from RNAcentral.